This 29-nucleotide non-coding RNA is filed under the name Mus musculus (house mouse). Lineage: Eukaryota; Metazoa; Chordata; Mammalia; Rodentia; Muridae. The record is from RNAcentral.
UUGUGCCACAACCCAAAUUUUACCUUGAC